Molecule: long non-coding RNA, 290 nt
Organism: Wasmannia auropunctata (little fire ant)
Lineage: Eukaryota; Metazoa; Arthropoda; Insecta; Hymenoptera; Formicidae
Exons: 2
Source: RefSeq, a predicted model, not a curated record
AAAAAUCAGUUUUUCUAAAAACUAUACUGAAAUAUAACGUAUAAUUAUGAAUACAAUAACAUUUCGUUUGUUCUUGGCUGCAGUUUUCACGCUAACAGUUACAAUAAUGCCUGCAGUAUAUGCCUGCAGUAUGACUGCUGAAGAAGCAAGAAGACUUGCUCUACAGGGAGUAUGUACAUAACGUAAAAAAUGUAUAAAAGGACUCAAGUGUUGACGGCCCAUAUUCCGAAAAGACUAUUUAUAAGCAUUAAGCUUAAAUAAUGGAUUGAAAUAAACGAAAAUUUAAAUUA